This 305-nucleotide ribosomal RNA is filed under the name uncultured bacterium. RNAcentral describes it as "bacterial SSU rRNA". It matches the Rfam family "Bacterial small subunit ribosomal RNA", at positions 337 to 658 of the family's 1533-position model. The record is from RNAcentral.
UCCUACGGGGGGCAGCAGUGGGGAAUAUUGCACAAUGGGGGAAACCCUGAUGCAGCAACGCCGCGUGAGUGAGGAAGUAUUUCGGUAUGUAAAGCUCUAUCAGCAGGGAAUAGAAAAGAAGGUACCUGAAAAAGAAGCCCCGGCUAACUACGUGCCAGCAGCCGCGGUAAUACGUAGGGGGCAAGCGUUAUCCGGAUUUACUGGGUGUAAAGGGAGCGUAGACGGCAGCGCAAGUCUGGAGUGAAAUGCCGGGGCCCAACCCCAGAACUGCUUUGGAAACUGUGCAGCUGGAGUGCAGGAGAGGU